GAUGCCAGGGUCAAAAGCCUGAAACCACGAUGUGCUUGCACAGGAGUGGUUUUAUGGCUUAAUGACCCGCCCCGAUAUGAGCAUAAAAGUGGAGCGAAAGCUUCACGAUAUGCGAAUAUUGGGUAGGAUUGUGGGAGUACGAAGUACGAAACAAUCCGUAAGG
RNAcentral lists this small RNA (163 nucleotides) under human gut metagenome. Its description in RNAcentral is "Clostridiales-1 RNA". It matches the Rfam family "Clostridiales-1 RNA". The record is from RNAcentral.